Molecule: ribosomal RNA, 465 nt
Filed under: Vreelandella stevensii
Lineage: Bacteria; Pseudomonadati; Pseudomonadota; Gammaproteobacteria; Oceanospirillales; Halomonadaceae
Description: partial 16S ribosomal RNA
Rfam family: Bacterial small subunit ribosomal RNA
Source: RNAcentral
CCUACGGGGGGCAGCAGUGGGGAAUAUUGGACAAUGGGCGAAAGCCUGAUCCAGCCAUGCCGCGUGUGUGAAGAAGGCCUUCGGGUUGUAAAGCACUUUCAGUGGGGAAGAAAGCCUUGGGGCUAAUACCCUCGAGGAAGGACAUCACCCACAGAAGAAGCACCGGCUAACUCCGUGCCAGCAGCCGCGGUAAUACGGAGGGUGCGAGCGUUAAUCGGAAUUACUGGGCGUAAAGCGCGCGUAGGCGGUCUGAUAAGCCGGUUGUGAAAGCCCCGGGCUCAACCUGGGAACGGCAUCCGGAACUGUCAGGCUAGAGUGCAGGAGAGGAAGGUAGAAUUCCCGGUGUAGCAGUGAAAUGCGUAGAGAUCGGGAGGAAUACCAGUGGCGAAGGCGGCCUUCUGGACUGACACUGACGCUGAGGUGCGAAAGCGUGGGUAGCAAACAGGAUUAGAUACCCCGGUAGUC